GAAAUGCGAUAAGUAAUGUGAAUUGCAGAAUUCAGUGAAUCAUCGAAUCUUUGAACGCACAUUGCGCUCGCCAGUAUUCUGGCGAGCAUGCCUGUUCGGGCGUCAUUUCAACCAUCAAGCUCUGCUUGCGUUGGGGAUCCGCGGCUGCCCGCGGUCCCUCAAAAACAGUGGCGGGCUCGCUAGUCACACCGAGCGUAGUAACUCUACAUCGCUAUGGUCGUGCGGCGGGUUCUUGCCGUAAAACCCCCAAUUUCUAAGGUUGACCUCGGAUCAGGUAGGAAUACCCGCUGAACUUAAGC
This 299-nucleotide unclassified non-coding RNA is filed under the name plant metagenome. RNAcentral's name for it is "partial contains 5.8S ribosomal RNA, internal transcribed spacer 2, and large subunit ribosomal RNA". The stretch from base 1 to 105 matches the Rfam family "5.8S ribosomal RNA", at positions 50 to 154 of the family's 154-position model. The record is from RNAcentral.